Long non-coding RNA from Leopardus geoffroyi (Geoffroy's cat), 3048 nucleotides. RefSeq lists it as uncharacterized. The transcript is spliced from 3 exons. NCBI's taxonomy places the organism in Eukaryota, Metazoa, Chordata, Mammalia, Carnivora, Felidae. The record is from RefSeq and is a predicted model, not a curated record.
CCCUGGGUCCUCACUGGCUGCCGGCCUUGGCCUGGUGUCCGGGGGCCAGUGCAAGGGAGGGGCCGAGGGCACGGACUCGGGCAAAUGCCAGCCACACUGUCCGGGCAACGGAGCUCCCUAGAGGGAGGCCAGCUGCCCUGUGGCGACCAUGGGGUCACAGGGGCGGGUCUGCUCCCCAGCACAGCUCCUCCAGAGACACCCAGGGCCCUGAGGGCUGCGUGCUGCGUGUCUGUCUUCCCAAGGGGUGUGGGUCCUUCAGGCCCAGGGAUGAUUUCGGUUCACACCUGCACGCGCGGCUGGGCUCGACGGUGAGAAGCGAGCUCUUGGCUGGGAUGGUGCGAGCUCCGCCCUGCUGCCCUGGCCCCGGUGCCUCAUCCUCCCGGGGGGCCCUGGGGUCCGUGCCCAGAACCACCCACACGGGUACUUAGCUUCGAGCCGGCAGAAGCCACCAGGGUGCAUCGCAGGGGCUUCCACACCCAUCCAUGCCACCUUUUAGGUGACUUUCAGGGGACUUCCUGCUGUCUCCGCACCGGGUGGGCGGGGGAGGGUGGUGACCUGUUGAGUCCUUGGAAUCCAUGGCAUUUAACUCUCCUUUUGCACUCCGCAGCCGGCCCGGUGUCCGAGGCACAGGUGCAGGGACAGGCGAGGGGCACCUGUGACUUGGGAGGGAGGAGGGGCAGCAGGCGGGGUCAGGGAGGACCAAGUGGCCGGGUCAGCGGGGCCUCAGCGGCACUUGGUGCCGGGGGUCCUUGCAGCCCGGCGCCCGGCUCCUGCGUUCUUCUCACCAGACAGGCUCCCCGGACUCCGUGGGCUCAGCGCCCGCCCUCCCGCUGCCUGACAGAGGAGAUCAGUCCGCCUGGCCCUGUGGCCCUGUCCACAGCUGCUCCCACAGCCACUGGGACCACUCCGUCCGUGGGGCCUCUCUGUCCCUUCUGCCCUGCCUCCAGGUCCGGCUGACCCCACCCUGCCCGGUGGGGCCUGGCCUCCCGAGCACCAGACCCUGGUCUUUGCUCAGGCCGACUCGGGCCACGGUGAUGGUCUUGUACUUGGGUAAUUCUGCAGGGCCAAGCUCAACCGUCAAGAGUCACACGGAAUGUGGGGGCAGGAUUUGGCCGUGUAAGUCACAGAGCACACAGCAGACGGUUCCAUGUGCCAGGUGGCCAGGGGUGGUUCAGGGACUCUCGACUACGGUGGCCUUGCCCCCUCCUCCUCCCAGGGACACCUGGCCACGUCCGGAGCCAGUUUUAGAGGUCACAGCCGGGCCUGACUUGCUGCCCCGCCUGUGUGGGCGGAGACUGUGCCUGCGGGUCAACACCCUGCAGGGGGGACCUGUCCCGGAGCAAAUGUCUGCAGUGCCUAGCUUAGCUGACUCCACCCCUUCACGGUGGGGGUCAGGGAAGCCCAGCCCCGCCGAGGCCCCCUCCCUUUCUGGUGGGGCCCUGGAGACCCACUGGCCAUGCCCCGCCUGGCACCCGGCCUGGCAGCAGGGAGGGGCCGUGCUGGGCCCGCCCCACGCAGAAGCCUCCCGCGGCCUCUUGCUAUGAGGCUUCCAGGCUCGGGCAGCGGUCACAGAGAAGACCACCUUCCCGGCUCUGUCUGCGACGUCCAUGCCCCCUGGCUCCUGUGUCUGGGUCCGGACGUCCCAUACACCUGGCUCCGGGCCCAGACUCAGCUGACACGCAUGCCAUUUCCCCAAAGAAGCCUCUGGAUGGGAAAUCAGAGCCCCGACUCUGACGGGAGCUUGGACAGGUGACCAGCAGGUGUCUUCCAAAUGCUUUCUCCCCUGCAGUGUCUGCAGUCCCUCCCCCAUCUUCCGGAAGACGGUCGGUCGCACAAGCACGGUCACUGCCACGGGCAAAAACGACCAGCAGCCGCGAUCCGUCUGGAAACCGAAACUAAAAUUCCGGGCCCCAGACAGACGCAGGGUGACAUCUGUCCAAGGGACUUAAGACCUUCUUCCCGAGGUCCGCACCUCCUGCCGCGCUCUCCCACCAGGCCUGGGGGAGCCGGGGGCAGCGCCUUUGAUCUACGUGGGCAGAGGUUGCCCUGUUCUUGUGGCCCGCGGGCAACCCCAGAACAGCUCAGCGGCAACUGAGUCGGGGCCCUCUCUGUGGGUACCCUGACUACCCCCUCUUACAGAUGAGGAAACCGAGGUCCAGCAGCCUCACGUAACUUGCCUUAGUUCAUACGGAACCAGGACCCCCACCCCUAAGCACUCAGCCACGGGGGUGUCAGGGUGGACAGGGUCAGAUGCCCUCCUGCUGGUCCCGGCCAGGUCCCCGACAGGCGCCCCCCGAACCCCCACACCAGGAGGGGCAGAUUGUUCACCUCAAGGAGAGAGGGAGGAAUCAGGCCUUCCCCGGCUUCGGGUCAGAUGAAGAGGUCCCCCCCGCCGCCAUGCCGGGUGCUGGGCUGAGACCCACCCAAAUCUCAAAGGGGGCUCUUGCCUCCCGGAUGCAGAAGCCGAGGCUGGCGUCAGCAGUAAAUGGGGCCCCCGGCCCUCCAGAAGCUGCUCCCAUACCCCUCCCUCCUCCUCCCCUACUAGGUAAGAGUGAACAGCACCCCUGCCCCCCCCCCGCCCCCCCCCCGGGCCUGCCCACCACAUCCACCGGGUGGGGGAGGCGGGGGAGGCGGUGGAUUUUGGUCUGUUGUGGGAGGAUGUUCGUUUUGGGGGCUGCUGACUCUUGAGGCCAAAGAGGGUUUGGGCAGCAGAUUGCCCGGAGUUUGGGGGAGGGUGGUUUUGUCCCCGCUCCUGACCUCCAUUUCCAAAGGUCCUGGGGCUUCCUAAGGGUCUCCAGGCUCUGAUGUCUAAACAGGAGACCCUGCGACAGAAGCGUCCCCCGGGGCUCGAGGGGAGGCAGGGGGCGGGCAGCAGGACGCCGGAGGCCGCGCGGGGUGGGGUCCGGGGACCCGGGUCGGGCCGCGCCCGGGCUGCGGGCUCCGUCCCGCGGCGGAGGGAGGGCGCCGCCAAGUUUCGCCGACCGCGGGGCGCCGGCGGGAAAGGCGCCCCCGGGUUCCCGGGCCUCCCCGCCCCCACCCCGCUCACCC